Oxyura jamaicensis (ruddy duck) is the source of this 1555-nucleotide long non-coding RNA. RefSeq lists it as uncharacterized. The transcript is spliced from 2 exons. Lineage: Eukaryota; Metazoa; Chordata; Aves; Anseriformes; Anatidae. The record is from RefSeq and is a predicted model, not a curated record.
CAGCAAACUUUUAUUCUGUGUCUACUAAGGCAAGCUAGUCUGCCUGUCCCCGAGACAGCCUUGUCAAUACCAACUCCAGCCUCUCCCCUGUUACCCUGUGGCAGCAGUUGGAGGUGCAUCUUCUGCUACCACGUUUGGGAAACAACCAGCAGCAUUUUAAAGUAUGGAUCAGGAGCUUCAGGAAAUCAAAUCAGACAAUAAAUAGAAAUCAUAAGGUGAGCAGUGCUGCUGUGCCUCUCGCAACACAGGUGGGGUUGAUAAUUCGCCUUUGUUAAGACUGAAGCUUAAGGGGCAGCAGUGUGGCUGGGCUGAUUAUAAUGACUGGCACUGACACACUGCCUUUAUACUUUUUUAUGCUAUUAAAGAUAAAAUUAAAUAAAAACUUAAGCCAUUGAAAUCUUCUGCAGUUCCAAAGAGCCGAGUACUGCUGGACCAGAGUGCAGGAUCUCUCCUGCCCUACCUCCUGACUCCCUUCUCUCUCCUCAGCGGUGUCAGACCAGCACCGAGAUCAGGGGACCCAGGGUAAAGACAAACAGAGACCAAGCAGAGCUCCAGCCAGUUUCUUUUACUCGCUUUAUAAGUAACUAAUUAAAAUAAUAUUUCCAGGAUGCUUUUGUCCCUGAAAGGCUCGCCAAUUAGACCUCCAGUAAGAAAAAAAAAAAAAGAAAGAUCGACACACAGACAGCUGAGCGAUCCCCCAGGGAGGGUCAAAGGAGCACCCAGCAAAAGCUGCUUUGUGAAGAGAGAAAAUGUCACAGGCACUUGAGAAGCAAGUGGAAAUACUGGCAGAGAUGCUCAGCCCACAUAUUGCAACCACCACCAAAACCUUCAGCAAACGUCUUACAAGAGCUUUACUGACCACAGCGGUCAGAACAUGAACUUUGCAUGCCUGGAAAAAGCAGCUUGGUAACAGCAGGCUGCAGCACCAAGUGCUAGCUUACGCUAGGAGAGCGUUUUGAGGUUAUAUCUUACAGCAGUAAACUCCUGCCCACUAAGUAAACUGGACUGGCUGAAGCAGUUUUCACCAGCAAAGCUCCACCGAUGUCAUGCUUUCAGCUAAUAUAAAUGCCUUUAAAAAUAAAAUUUAAAAAAAAAAAUAAUAAAGGAAGUAAGCACAAGUAGUAAGCACCUAGCCACGGUCAUCGGAUUUUCCUUGCAGGGAAACGACCCCGCCUGUAGAGCAGCUUUGGAGCCCACAACAAAGGAGCAGGACGACAUUGUCGUGCAGCCGUCCCAGCCACCCGUGACCAAGGAGGAAAGCUGGACGUGGACAGAGAGACAGACACCCCCCCUCCAAAAGGGGAGCAAGUGAAGAACAAAGUACUCGAACCACAACAACGCAGCAGGACCGUGCUCAGUUGUUAAUGAAUGACUAAGCUGACCUUUGCCCAACACGGAGAAAGGGGAUGUCUUUCCCGAAGGAUCAACAGUGAUUUUUGUGUCAGGAACAAUAAAUAUCCCCCCAGGUACGGAAGGCAAUGCUUUUCUUUCCUGCUUGGCGUUAACACUGGCCACGACAGGACCUAAUCCAAGGCGUAGCUUGGAUUCAACACUU